Molecule: ribosomal RNA, 242 nt
Filed under: uncultured bacterium
Lineage: Bacteria
Description: partial 16S ribosomal RNA
Rfam family: Bacterial small subunit ribosomal RNA
Source: RNAcentral
UACGUAGGGCGCAAGCGUUAUCCGGAAUUACUGGGCGUAAAGAGCUCGUAGGCGGUUUGUCGCGUCUGCCGUGAAAGUCCGGGGCUCAACUCCGGAUCUGCGGUGGGUACGGGCAGACUAGAGUGAUGUAGGGGAGACUGGAAUUCCUGGUGUAGCGGUGGAAAUGCGCAGAUAUCAGGAGGAACACCGAUGGCGAAGGCAGGUCUCUGGGCAUUAACUGACGCUGAGGAGCGAAGCAUGGG